ACACUUACCUGGCAGGGGAGAUCCCAUGAUCACGAAGGUGGUUUUUCCAGGGUGAGACUUCUCCAUUACACUCGGAAUGAGCUGAUCCCUGCGAUUUCCCCAAAUGUGGGAAACUCGACUGCAUAAUUUGAGGCAGCAGGGGAUUGCAUUCACGCUUUCCCCUG
Equus asinus (donkey) is the source of this 164-nucleotide small nuclear RNA. Its record names the gene U1. It matches the Rfam family "U1 spliceosomal RNA". From Rfam's summary of the family: U1 is a small nuclear RNA (snRNA) component of the spliceosome (involved in pre-mRNA splicing). Its 5' end forms complementary base pairs with the 5' splice junction, thus defining the 5' donor site of an intron. Lineage: Eukaryota; Metazoa; Chordata; Mammalia; Perissodactyla; Equidae. The record is from Ensembl.